AGCUCCAUCAGUGUAUAUUAAAGUUGUUGCGGUUAAAAAGCUCGUAGUUGGAUUUAGGAUAGAGGAAAAUCAAGAUCGAUCGAAAUGAUUUGAUCCGAUGGUCCCGUCCAUAAUUUUAGAGUAAUAGGCUCUUGGAUUUUUACGAAUUCAGGAUGUUUUUCUAUUCUCUAUCAUUUACUUUGAUAAAAUCAGAGUGUUCAAAGCAGGCGUCAACUUGCCUUGAAUGUUGCCGCAAGGGAUAAUAGAAUAUGACUUUGGUCUUAUUUUGUUGGUUUCUAGGGCUAAAGUAAUGACUAAUAGGGACAGUUGGGGGCGCUCGUAUUGAGUUGUCAGAGGUGAAAUUCUAGGAUUUACUCAAGACGAACUAAUGCGAAAGCAUUCGCCAAGGAUGUUUUCAUUA
Molecule: ribosomal RNA, 400 nt
Filed under: phytoplankton environmental sample
Lineage: Eukaryota
Description: partial small subunit ribosomal RNA
Rfam family: Eukaryotic small subunit ribosomal RNA
Source: RNAcentral